ACAGGCCUCUUCACUUGGCUACAGAGAUGACCAAUCUAGCUAAUGGAACACAGAGGUAUGUCCUUCGUGGGUGCAACACCAAGUUCUCCUUGGGCACUUCAAGUACUGCCACUCCUGCAUUUGUGCAAUGGGAACUAAGGGUAGACUCAAAGGAGGCACUUUCACAUCCACUAAAGGAGCCAGAAUUUGAUUUUGAAAGGCUGAUUUUCCUCUCCCCUUCUCCACCUAUCUCAUUCCGAAAAUAUGGACAGCUCAUUACAAGCUCAUUGCUUUUAUCAUCUCCCUGGUCCAUGCUGAGGCUUCCUUUGGAAUUCAGGUCCUCUGUGCUGCCCAUUGGGGAGCUAAAACUGGCUGAAUGAGACAGAGGUCCAGAGACCAAGGAUGCCACGGCAGCUGCGGAAGCUCCAGUGGUGGUGUUUCUCCUCUUAAUAACAUUGUGCCUGUUCAUAAUUGCCUCAUUCAAAUCAAAUAAUAUACUCUGGACAUCAUAGUGGGCAAAGCACUUUGGACAUGUCCAGGGCCUGACAGAGUCUUCUGAUCGGUUAUCUUCAAGAUCUGAUGACUUCCCAAGUUCUUCACCUUUGGCAUUGCGCAAUUUACGAAAAAUAGAUGAGUCUCCAGUUUCAGAUUUUGAACGUCGCUUGAGUGGUUUUUCCCUUUCCUUAAAAAGCCUGAGGUUCUCUCUCUGUGAGAUAGGCCCGUCUAUUACAUCCAAAGAGAAACCAGAACCCUUGCCACCACCAGUAAUGAGAAAGUCACUGAGCUUGGUUGGAGUUGGACCUCGAUCAGAUUUGUCAUCUUUGUAGCCCUUUAACAAAUCAAAAAAGCUUUCUCCAGAUGUUCCCUGUUUAUCAAUUGAAGAUGUGCUACCAUAUUCCCUGUGCAGUGAUGGUCCAGUCUUGUAUGUAGGUGAGAUACAUUCAUCAAAGCUAUCCACAUCAAGUUCACUUAUGGUGAUAUCACUGUUGCUUCGCUGGCGUAUUCUGCGAAGAGCUUUUCUGGGGGAGCUGGGGUAGGCUUCAGGCAUGAGAAAUCUGGAGUCCAUGUUCUCCGACGGUCUUGUCUUGUUUUUCAGCGUGUUCUGUAUGCUUUUCAGCAUGGCUGAGUCAUUGGAAUUGAGGCUAACAGAACUUCCCUGACUCACAGGACUGCUUUUGGAGGACAGGCUAUCAAGGCAACUUGAGGUUUCUAUUUCCUGGCUUGAACGGCUAGAUUCUUUUAUGUUUUCCUUUCUUGGGGGCCAAUCUGCAAUCCUUGCCCUUACCCCCAUUUUUGGGACUCCGGGGGUUGAGGUUAUAUGGUGAGAACCUUCACUUCGGGGGGGUCCUACAGGAGCCAUAACUGAUGAUCCUAAGCUGCCAUUUUGGGACCGGAAGCGCCGCAUGUAGAAAUCAUCAGUGUGGACUUUGGGGGUGCCGUCUGUGCCAACAACAGAGGCCCUGUCAGUGGCAAGAGGCCUUUCUGUCUGUGACCGUUUCAAGCUGGUCAUGAUGUAAAAGCAAGUAGACUUAAAUCCCUGCAGCAAGGACCAUCAUAUCUGUGUUUUAAAUGUGCACUUCCCUUUUGGAGAAUGGCUUCCAGAAAAUACAACAGUUGCAUGAGAUCUUAAUCUUUUUCAUUUAAAAGGUUAAAUGAUGCUUUAUUUGUAAAGCACUGAAAAAUUGGAACUUCUAAACGUUAUAAUCCACAACAGUUUCUUUGCUUCACUUUAACAGAGGGCUUUCUUUCAGAAAAAACUGAAUGGAACUUGUACUACUGAGAUUCUGUGGUUGCCAUAAUCCCAUGCUUUCUCUAAAAGAGAAAAGGAUAAUUUGAAUUAGCAGAUAAAUACAUCUAAAAACAAACAUGCAAUUGUCAAAACCAGACACAUGAAGAUAAAAGACUCAAUAAUGGAUUAGGAUUCACAGUUCCACAAUCCGUAUUUUUAGUAAAGCAGGUUUGAAAGAAAGGAAGAAAGUAAAAACCAUUUGAUAAAAUCCAUAAUUUAUAUUCUAAAAAAAAAAACUAUUAAGACUUCAUCUUAAUUGAACUGUUUCAUAAAAUGGGGGGCAGGGGGAGGGGUACAUCUUGUUCUGGAUAUCAUGGCUCCUACCCAAAGUACAGACUUUUGCUCCAAUGACCUCUAAAAAUGUAGAACAUCAUGAGCUACUGUGAUGACCAGAAGUUUGAGAUGUAACCAAGUGAAUAAGAUAAUUAGAGCAACAGAGUUUUUUGACAAAAGUAAAAACUGAAAAAUGACUUUACUGAAUAUGCUGCAACAAUCACUUUUUAACUCCUCUAUUCCAAAAUCAAUACAUGUUUUUUGUUUCCUUACAAAGGCUUAACAUAGUUGGCAAAAACAAAUACAGCAGGAAAAAAUAAAUAAAAAGAGUUUUCCCAGAGCCAUUAUAUCCAUUAGCACUCUUUUGUAUUUUCCUCUACUUUAUUACUUACCGAGACGAGGAUAUUGCAGAAUGAAUCCAGCAUUCACCACCACCUCUUCCCAAGCUCUCCUUAGUUUCUUGUACUCUUAAAAGCUAGAAGUAUCUCACUAAUGAACAAAAUGCCUGCAUUUCCUCAUGCAGUACAACCUACUCCACCCCAUCAGUGCUAAUUUAUGAAGACGGCAGAAACAAAACACAGCUCUGGGUGGCCCUCUCCAUAUCCCCAACAGAUUACAGAGAACUGUUAGCAUCCUUCCAGGUGACGGGCAUGGAAACAAACUUCCUCAUGAGCACGUCAGGCAGAAGGCAGGAGACACAGAUUCUGAGUACAAAAUUCUGCAUGGUUGCGUACAUUCUGAAAAGAAAGGCAGAGGCUCCUUUUCCAAGACUCCACAAAUUACACAAGAGGUGGCCUUUAAAUUCUUGCCAAAUACAUGUUUGGAAAGAUGCUGCUGAACCAGCACUGAGCUGACAGGGCGGCAUUGUCUACAAAUCACGGCUCUGACACCGGAGGACGACCUGCACUUGCUGCACUCUCCACUCAAUGGUAACAAGCACCUACUUCCACGAUAAUUAAGCAUCUCCCUAGUCGGCUUCCUGCCUCCAAGGCAGGCGCUUUCAUUUCUCUUGCAGCACACAGCAUCACUUUAGAAGACUCGCUGCUAUUUAA
This is a long non-coding RNA of Homo sapiens (human), 3093 nucleotides long. Lineage: Eukaryota; Metazoa; Chordata; Mammalia; Primates; Hominidae. The record is from Ensembl.